Molecule: ribosomal RNA, 489 nt
Filed under: uncultured Desulfovibrio sp.
Lineage: Bacteria; Pseudomonadati; Thermodesulfobacteriota; Desulfovibrionia; Desulfovibrionales; Desulfovibrionaceae
Description: bacterial SSU rRNA
Rfam family: Bacterial small subunit ribosomal RNA
Source: RNAcentral
GAAACUACGAAAGAAGUUGACGGGGCCCGCACAAGCGGUGGAGUAUGUGGUUUAAUUCGAUGCAACGCGAAGAACCUUACCUAGGUUUGACAUCCGGAAGACCUUCCCGAAAAGGAAGGGUGCCCUUCGGGGAAUUCCGAGACAGGUGCUGCAUGGCUGUCGUCAGCUCGUGCCGUGAGGUGUUGGGUUAAGUCCCGCAACGAGCGCAACCCUAUUGCCAGUUGCUACCAGGUAAUGCUGGGCACUCUGGUGAGACUGCCCCGGUUAACGGGGAGGAAGGUGGGGACGACGUCAAGUCAUCAUGGCCCUUACGCCUAGGGCUACACACGUACUACAAUGGCGCAUACAAGGGGCAGCGAUACCGCGAGGUGGAGCCAAUCCCAAAAAGUGCGUCCCAGUCCGGAUUGCAGUCUGCAACUCGACUGCAUGAAGUUGGAAUCGCUAGUAAUUCGAGAUCAGCAUGCUCGGGUGAAUGCGUUCCCGGGCCUU